Molecule: long non-coding RNA, 1172 nt
Organism: Brachypodium distachyon (stiff brome)
Lineage: Eukaryota; Viridiplantae; Streptophyta; Magnoliopsida; Poales; Poaceae
Exons: 2
Source: RefSeq, a predicted model, not a curated record
UGCACCUCUCUUUCUCCUUGCCUACAUCUAUGUCCUGCCAAGUGCUCGUCCUUCGUAAGUUGUACUACAUACUCGUAAAUCUUUUUAAAUCGUGUAAUUCCUCUUGUUUAGGAUGCAAUUUGUUAGUAUAACUUUUUCUUGCGAAGCAUGAUGUGAUAUUGACAAGGCAGUACCUAUAGCGCGCACACACAUCAUGGCCCAUGGAUGACCUCUUACAUAUGGUGGAUUGAAUUGGGGUCCAUUUAUUCGUUCCAGCCCAUCGGAACUGACCAACUCCCUUGACUCGACUAGGAAUGAACUCUGUUGAAAAAGAAAGCCAAGUAGCUAGGAGUACUAGAUGAUGAGUCACUCUCAAACAACCAAAAGGAUAAAUCAUCCGAGACUCCGUGGGAGAAAGCAACGGCCAAGUUUAAGUCUCUUCUUUUUACUAUCAUGUAUACGUACGAUACCGUGUAGACGACGCACACUUCCUACAAAAGACAAAACCGUCGCGGACCAAACCAUAAACACCGGCUGACACGUGGGCUCAUUCGAGCUAUAGUUACUUAUACCGAGUAACAAAAUCUCUCAAAUCAGCAAGAAAAGAAAGUAAAACCUGUGGCACAGCAAAGGCUACCACGCAACACUGCAGCCUUCUCGGCCUACAAAACGCCAUCCACUCUUCCUCCUUCCUGUUCCAAUCCUCCUCCUUGAGCUGAGUGCUUCCACUCAGCAUUAGCCAGUAGCUAAGCCUUCUGACUUCUACAGCCGUCGGAAGAUCGAAGAUGUACAACGCUCCGAUGGCGCAGGAGAUGUCCUACUUGGAUCAUAUGCAAAGGCGCCACGAGGAGAAGGGCUGCCUCUACGCAUGCUUAUUCACGGCGCUGUGCUGCUUCUGCUGCUACGAGACCUGCGAGUGCUGCCUCGAAUGCCUCUGCUGCUGCUGCGACUAAGCUAGCUAUCACCCGGCGGCGUCAAACUCUCCGGCAGGAGAUCAACCGUCCGUCGCCUUCAUUUAGCCCCAAAUUCAUAAUAAGCAUCGUUUGUACUGUAAGCUUAAUCAAUUAAUUAGCUCGAUGUCGGGUAUACUAUAUACUAAUAUUUUCUGUGCCGAAAGACAUUAUUACUGUAAUCAUCAUCAUGGUUUGAGUGGCUUUGUUGCAAUAUUUUAAUUAAUCGAUCAGUUAGCAUCA